CUACGGGGGGCUGCAGUGAGGAAUAUUGCACAAUGGGGGGAACCCUGAUGCAGCAACGCCGCGUGGAGGAUGACGCAUUUCGGUGUGUAAACUCCUUUUAUAUGUCAAGAAAAUGACGGUAGCAUAUGAAUAAGCGCCGGCUAACUCCGUGCCAGCAGCCGCGGUAAUACGGAGGGCGCAAGCGUUACUCGGAAUCACUGGGCGUAAAGGACGCGUAGGCGGUAUGAAAAGUCAGGUGUGAAAGCCUACAGCUUAACUGUAGAACUGCACUUGAAACUCUCAAUCUAGAGUAUGGGAGGGGCAGAUGGAAUUAGGGGUGUAGGGGUAAAAUCCGUAGAUAUCACUAGGAAUACCUAAAGCGAAGGCGAUCUGCUGGAACAUUACUGACGCUAAGGCGUGAAAGCGUGGGGAGCAAACAGGAUUAGAUACCCCAGUAGUC
RNAcentral lists this ribosomal RNA (439 nucleotides) under uncultured bacterium. RNAcentral describes it as "partial 16S ribosomal RNA". It matches the Rfam family "Bacterial small subunit ribosomal RNA", at positions 339 to 795 of the family's 1533-position model. The record is from RNAcentral.